ACCUGAGCUGUAUGUCUUUGGACUCUGGAAACUUAAGCACCUGGAAGAGCCCCAUGCAAACCUGGUGACGGAACACAGCACCAUGGACAAGAUUCGCAGUCAUGACCUUCUUCCUUUGAGCAUGCACACUGAUGUGCCAUGGAGGCCAGUUGAAAGAGCCACAGUCUACAGCAGUAGCAAGGCCUGCCUGCAGACUCUGUGCUCUCAGUGGCACAUGGUGUGAAAACAGUGAAGAGCCAGUUCCCCUCCUCGCCCUGCUGCCUGCAUACAGCGCGGUUUAAUUUCAGCACCAUGGACAGAGUCCGUCAGUCUGGUACCCCUUGACAGCGUGAAGUUGAGAACGACUGGGUGCUGUGUUGUUUCAGUGCAUUUAAAAUUUGUCUCAACACAUAACACGUACUUAUCCUGUUGUACAUGCCAUUCCCUAAUAAACCG
Long non-coding RNA from Micropterus salmoides (largemouth bass), 435 nucleotides. RefSeq lists it as uncharacterized. The record is from RefSeq and is a predicted model, not a curated record. The transcript has 3 exons. NCBI's taxonomy places the organism in Eukaryota, Metazoa, Chordata, Actinopteri, Centrarchiformes, Centrarchidae.